This 911-nucleotide long non-coding RNA is filed under the name Equus asinus (donkey). RNAcentral's name for it is "lncRNA (ENSEASG00005034998.1)". The record is from RNAcentral. Lineage: Eukaryota; Metazoa; Chordata; Mammalia; Perissodactyla; Equidae.
CUUGGGCCCCAUAAGAGACCAACUGAAUAAAACAAUCUGAGCAUAGGGCCCAGCAAGCUGUGUUUUAACAAGCCCUCGGUGUGAUUUCACGGCACGCUGAAGUUCAAGAACCACUUGUGAAGAGCUUUGGCAAACAAGGGGAGGGGCAGCUUGGGAUUCUGUGUCACCAGGAAUCACUCUCCAGGUCCUUGAUCCUCUUGAGGAAGAUUGACCUGUGACUCUGCUUUUACUCAUUGAGCACAUCACGGACUUUUUCGUGCUUUGGAGCCCUAGACAGCACUUCAGUGCUUUAGGUCUACUCACGAAAAAUGUUUAGGAGGAGCCACAGGAAAUAAUGAGUUGGGGUGGAACUAGCCUAGAAUUCCAUGUCACUACAAUCCACUUUCCAUGUGAUUGAUUCAUUGAUCCGUCUGGAAGGGGAGCUGAAGAUGAAACAAUGUCGUGAGGCUCAUCAAGGAACACAGGAAACCAAAGCCCUGAACUGAAACUGAAAUUGGUACCAGAAGAGAAGUUGCACAAACCAGAACUUCAGUUGUAAUGUGGGGAUACUUUUGGAGUUGCUUAUUGGGUGGUAGUGGAGUAGAGAGCAAAAAAAUAUUUCUCUCCACGUCCUCAGGUUAAAUUCUAAUAGCUCUUGGAACUCAGAGGGAAAGCGACUUAACAAGCUGUCUCCUCUAGACCUUGAGGAUUGUGGUCCCACUGAGGUCUAGAUGUCAACUUCAAGGAUUGAGGAAAAGCCGCACUGCAGAUUGAAUAAAAUGCAGACAGAGGAACAUGAGUCCCCGUUCUAGUCGCCCAGCAUCAGUAUACAAGGAAAUCUGGAGCCUUUUUGUCAUUCUGAUUCUGGAAGCCUUUUCUGACUCCAGCAGGAUCUCCUGGACUGCUGAAAGCUGAGUCCAGGAACAAAUCAC